CAACGCCGCGUGAGGGAUGAAGGCCUCUGGGCUGUAAACCUCUUUUAUCAAGGAAGAAGAUCUGACGGUACUUGAUGAAUAAGCCACGGCUAAUUCCGUGCCAGCAGCCGCGGUAAUACGGGAGUGGCAAGCGUUAUCCGGAAUUAUUGGGCGUAAAGCGUCCGCAGGCGGUCUUGAAAGUCUGUUGUUAAAGCGUGGAGCUCAACUCCAUUUCAGCAAUGGAAACUAUAAGACUAGAGUGUGGUAGGGGCAGAGGGAAUUCCCGGUGUAGCGGUGAAAUGCGUAGAUAU
Molecule: ribosomal RNA, 290 nt
Filed under: uncultured bacterium
Lineage: Bacteria
Description: partial 16S ribosomal RNA
Rfam family: Bacterial small subunit ribosomal RNA
Source: RNAcentral